RNAcentral lists this ribosomal RNA (161 nucleotides) under uncultured bacterium. RNAcentral describes it as "partial 16S ribosomal RNA". It matches the Rfam family "Bacterial small subunit ribosomal RNA", at positions 358 to 511 of the family's 1533-position model. The record is from RNAcentral.
GGAAUCUUCCACAAUGGACGCAAGUCUGAUGGAGCAACGCCGCGUGAGUGAAGAAGGGUUUCGGCUCGUAAAGCUCUGUUGUUAGAGAAGAACGUGGGUAAGAGUAACUGUUUACCCAGUGACGGUAUUUAACCAGAAAGCCACGGCUAACUACGUGCCAG